CCACUACUAUAUCAUAAUGAAGAAGUUGUAAUAUGUGGUAUUUAAUGCCUAAAUGUGGUUAAAUAUCGGUAUAAUUUCAUUGAGAUCGAAGUCAACAAUCCUUCCAAAUAAACUUGGCAUGACCAAGUAGGAAGUUCUCUAAAAGGAGUUCUAAUGCUAUUGCAAUUUACAAACACAGAUUGAGCAUGCAAUCAAUAUUACCUUUUUACUUGUGCCUUUGUUGUUUUUCAACUUUUUUUUUUUUUUUUGUAGGUGGUGCUGCUAAUACUUUAGUUUGUUAUAGAUGUAAAGACAUAUCAAGUAAGUUGUUGUUUUGCUUUGGUUGUUGAUGAUCCAAAUAAAUUUCUAUUAUACGUUGACUGUUGGGGAUGCAAAGGAAUUCAAGUAGGUUCAUACUGUUUUCAAUGGUUGUUAAGGAUGCAUAGAAAUUCAAGUAUGGUGCUGUUUUUUUGUUUCAGCUAUUGAGUAUGCAAAGAAAUUCAAGAAGUCUGUUGUUGUUUUGCUUUGGUUGUUGAGGAUGCAUAGAAAUUCAAGUAGGUUUAUGUGGAUAACGGAAUGCUCAAGGAAGGUGGAGAAGAACUGAUCAAUCAUGUGGAAGUUUUAGCUUUAACAGAGUUAGAAUUUCAUAAUAUGUGUCCUUUCUUUACUCAAAUUACAUUGUCGUUUGAACAUAGAAAUGAUUGAAUGCUACAAGUAUUUAUCUUGUUUAUGCACUAUAAUGUAUCAAACUUCUCACAUAUUUUAUUUUUUAUUAUUAUUGAAGUUUGAAUGAUAUCAA
This 778-nucleotide long non-coding RNA is filed under the name Prunus persica (peach). RNAcentral describes it as "long non-coding RNA (PPER_LNC005130)". Lineage: Eukaryota; Viridiplantae; Streptophyta; Magnoliopsida; Rosales; Rosaceae. The record is from RNAcentral.